This is a long non-coding RNA of Lutzomyia longipalpis, 1014 nucleotides long. RefSeq lists it as uncharacterized. The record is from RefSeq and is a predicted model, not a curated record. NCBI's taxonomy places the organism in Eukaryota, Metazoa, Arthropoda, Insecta, Diptera, Psychodidae. The transcript has 2 exons.
GAAUGUGAUUUCAUCAUUGUAAAUCCGCUGAAGCAUGAGAUUUAUAAUUUUCACUCAUUUUACCUUCAUUUAUCGUGAUUGCCCUAUGGAAAGUAAAAGAAUUCCUAGCUUUGUAUGCAUGAAUGUAGCUAUGCUACAGCGCGAGGUUAUCUUGAAGAAAUUCAUUUGCAUAGUUGUGAAUUCCGAGGUGAAUUUAGUCUUGAAAUUUGCACUUUUCAAUAGAAAUCUAUACUUGGGUGUAUAUGUAUUAAGGAUAAUGAGGUACCAUAUUUUUUUUUAGACUAGGAUCACUGGAGACACUGUGAGACUAAUGUUCAGUGACGCCAAGAAAACAGUGAGAGAGAGGCUUUGGAGGUUCACUGACGGUCCAUUAGAUUUUUUGGCAUCGCCAUCAUUCUGUACCUGUGUCUCACCUCAAUUUUCCAUGCUUCACGCACAGAGAUUCCAGCCUACGGUCGCUCUACAAUAGAGGCUCUUCUCUAUUUUUGGGCACGACUAGUGGUGAGACAGAGAAAACUUCUUGCGUCUAACAUUCCAUCCUCUUCGUCUUCUCAAAAGACUUUUGUACCAUUGGCAUUUUUUGUGGCUAUCCACCGUCGCUCGACCCAAGAAAUAUGCCGAAUAGAGAAUGGAGGCUAGUUUUUCGUCAUCUCUCCACCUCAAUUCCCUUUUUCGGGUCGACUGUAAAAAACUUUACAAAUCCCCAAAUAUUAAUUUUGAACUUUAUUGUGAGAAAAAGAAUGGAAGAAUUCACUUCCAUAUGAAACUUAAGAAAAUUCUUCUGGUUUUUUUUAAUCAAACUCAGACGCCAAUAUCAAUAAGAAAGUUAUCAUCAGAAUACCACCAUUCAUGCGCAAGAAAUUUCUCCACAGUUUACCACCCCAUUUGCUUUUUAAUAAACGCCCCUUAUGUGAAAGCUUAAAAAAAGAGAGUUGCGCGGAGAGAAAGAACAUUCCAUUGUCUCCUUGUUAAUCAAUCCAAAGAAAGUAUCGAAUUAAAAUAAUUGUCGAUUUA